UUUCCGUAGGUGAACCUGCGGAAGGAUCAUUAUUGAAUGAAACACUUCUGGCUUUAUGCUGUUGUGCUGGCUCUUUGGGCAAUGUGCACACGGCUCUGGUCACUUGUUUCUUCUGUUCCACCUGUGCACUGCCUGUAGACACGCUGUGUCUAUGAUAUUUGUUAACACACAACAAUGUUUGUUGGCAUGUUAUAUAUAAUAAUAAAAUAUACAACUUUCAACAACGGAUCUCUUGGCUCUC
Molecule: unclassified non-coding RNA, 241 nt
Filed under: plant metagenome
Description: partial contains small subunit ribosomal RNA, internal transcribed spacer 1, and 5.8S ribosomal RNA
Source: RNAcentral